CCUACGGGAGGCAGCAGUAGGGAAUAUUGCUCAAUGGGGGAAACCCUGAAGCAGCAACGCCGCGUGGAGGAUGAAGGUUUUCGGAUUGUAAACUCCUUUUGUCAGAGAAGAUAAUGACGGUAUCUAACGAAUAAGCACCGGCUAACUCCGUGCCAGCAGCCGCGGUAAUACGGAGGGUGCAAGCGUUACUCGGAAUCACUGGGGGUAAAGAGCGCGUAGGCGGGAUAGCAAGUCAGAUGUGAAAUCCUAUGGCUUAACCAUAGGACGGCAUUUGAAACUGUUAUUCUAGAGUAUGGGAGAGGUAAGUGGAAUGCUUGGUGUAGGGGUGAAAUGCGUAGAGAUCAGGAGGAAUACUCAUUGCGAAGGCGACCUGCUAGAACGUAACUGACGCUGAUGCGCGAAAGCGUGGGGAGCAAACAGGAUUAGAUACCCGAGUAGUC
This 440-nucleotide ribosomal RNA is filed under the name uncultured bacterium. Its description in RNAcentral is "partial 16S ribosomal RNA". It matches the Rfam family "Bacterial small subunit ribosomal RNA", at positions 338 to 795 of the family's 1533-position model. The record is from RNAcentral.